AUUGAACGCUGGCGGCAUGCCUUACACAUGCAAGUCGAACGGAUCAGAAGGGCUUGCUCUCUGAUUUAGCGGCGGACGGGUGAGUAAUGCCUAGGAAUCUGCCUGGUAGUGGGGGAUAACGUUCCGAAAGGAACGCUAAUACCGCAUACGUCCUACGGGAGAAAGCAGGGGACCUUCGGGCCUUGCGCUAUCGGAUGAGCCUAGGUCGGAUUAGCUAGUUGGUGAGGUAAUGGCUCACCAAGGCGACGAUCCGUAACGGGUCUGAGAGGAUGAUCAGUCACACUGGAACUGAGACACGGUCCAGACUCCUACGGGAGGCAGCAGUGGGGAAUAUUGGACAAUGGGCGAAAGCCUGAUCCAGCCAUGCCGCGUGUGUGAAGAAGGUCUUCGGAUUGUAAAGCACUUUAAGUUGGGAGGAAGGGCAUUAACCUAAUACGUUAGUGUUUUGACGUUACCAACAGAAUAAGCACCGGCUAACUUCGUGCCAGCAGCAGCCGCCG
RNAcentral lists this ribosomal RNA (500 nucleotides) under uncultured bacterium. RNAcentral describes it as "partial 16S ribosomal RNA". It matches the Rfam family "Bacterial small subunit ribosomal RNA", at positions 30 to 523 of the family's 1533-position model. The record is from RNAcentral.